UUUUAGCCCUGAUGGAAACGAUAUCCUCUUGUGGCGGGGUUCGCCACAAGAGAUAAAGUGUACAGCAGGAAAGGGC
Molecule: small RNA, 76 nt
Filed under: Flavobacterium crassostreae
Lineage: Bacteria; Pseudomonadati; Bacteroidota; Flavobacteriia; Flavobacteriales; Flavobacteriaceae
Description: Flavo-1 RNA
Rfam family: Flavo-1 RNA
Source: Rfam by way of RNAcentral